GACAUCAGAGAUAUAUGUCCACAGAAAAAAGACCAUGUGAGGAGAUAGCAAGAAUACCCUAUCUGCAAGCCAUGGAGAGGUCUCAGCAGAAACCAAAACUGCCAACAACUUAAUCUUGGACUUCUAUCCUCUAUAAAUGAAAGGUGAGGAGCCAAGAUGUCCCACUAGAUGCAGCCAAGGAGAGCUUCUCCAAUGGAAAGAGACCAGACCAUCAAGUAGACUGGCAUAUUCUGAAAAGAUCUCUGGAAAGAAGGCAUAGAGACUGGACAGAGGGAAGUUUCAAGCCCUGGGCUGAAAGAGGAGGAAUUUGGGAACCCUGCAUGGGAUUGCCUAGCACAAAGACUUGUUCCUGGCUCUAAGGUGAAGGGCCUACUCAACGUGAAGAUGAUGAGAAUGAAGACCUUUAUGAUGAUCUGCUUCCACUUAAAGAAUAGUAGGUAUUUGGCUGACUCCUGGACUAUGCAAGCACAAGAAGAGAUUUCAGAAGGUUUGGAAGAGAGUCUCUUCUGAGAGGCUGAGGGCUAAGAAGACUGCCCUGUGCAGGAAAGAUGUUGGAGUGCAAGCCCAUCUGGAAUGGAGAGACCUCGAUGAAACACAUAGGCAAUUAAUUAGAUCCCAGAAAGGCCACACUGUGCAAGCCCAUCAUGAUCUGAAGGCAGCGGUGGUUGCUGGUGGAGGAUGUGAGCUUUGGAACUGGAGCUCUUUGAUUCAAAGCUCUGCCGCUUACUCACUGGAUAAGACCAUGAUCAAGUUAUUUCAUCUGAAAAAUUGAGUUGACUGCAGGUAACUGAAACUGCGGAAAGUGAAACUGCAGAUAAGAGGGACCACUGUAAAUAAGUGACAUGAAUGAUACUGCAAAGGACCAUAGCCUAACCAGCCAAGCAAACUGGAAGUACCUUUAGACUCACGCUUUGCCAAGCUCAGUUCCAGAAUCACAUGAUGAAAAGAAUGAUGGAAAGAAAAUGUUUGUGAUAUUAAAAUUAAGGAAA
This 989-nucleotide long non-coding RNA is filed under the name Homo sapiens (human). RNAcentral's name for it is "long intergenic non-protein coding RNA 1934". The record is from RNAcentral. Lineage: Eukaryota; Metazoa; Chordata; Mammalia; Primates; Hominidae.